GUACUGCUGAAGAGUCCCAAACUAAGACGAAACAGCUGGCCAGUAC
This is a non-coding RNA of Trichobilharzia regenti, 46 nucleotides long. The record is from Rfam. NCBI's taxonomy places the organism in Eukaryota, Metazoa, Platyhelminthes, Trematoda, Strigeidida, Schistosomatidae.